UUUUGACAACAAUUACAAGUGAAAAUGACAUAACUUGGUAAACUUGGGCACGAUAUUGUUACUUUUCAAUUACUUGGAGAUAAUUGGCUUGGACAUUUCCAUGUAGUUUCCAAAUUAAUAGAAAAAUCUAUUGUCCAUGCAUGUAUAGUCAUAGAUGAUUAUUUUUUCUAAAAAAAUUCAGGGGGUACCCGUGUGCCCACUGAUCCUUAAGAUUCUUCAGUCAUAUAUAUAUAUAUGUAUAUGUAUAUGUAUAUAUGGGUUUGAUCUUCGUCCUAGUUUAACUGCACCACUGGAAUCUCUAUCUCUAGCCACACCCAUACUGGACUAGUCGCUGAGAUUUUUUCUUUUCAAACAACUAUUAUGGCCUCUGUAACAUCAUCUCAGUCACAUGGCGGCAUCCAUAAGAAUUUCAAGCAAAUCACCCUUAACCGUAAUAAUAUAUAUAUGUAUAUAAUGUUGUUCUUAUAUAUGUUAUGAUUAUAUGUUUCACUGAUUUAUAUCCAACUCAGUGAUAUAAUAAUUGUUAGGGCUGUUGCAUGAAAUUCUAAGAACAGACACCAA
Humulus lupulus (European hop) is the source of this 561-nucleotide long non-coding RNA. RefSeq lists it as uncharacterized. The record is from RefSeq and is a predicted model, not a curated record. NCBI's taxonomy places the organism in Eukaryota, Viridiplantae, Streptophyta, Magnoliopsida, Rosales, Cannabaceae. The transcript has 3 exons.